GAAGUUUGGAGGUUUUCCUAGAGGCUGCUGGUACCAGGCUAAUGCACUGCCAUUACCCUGACUGACCCUGCAGCUGAUGGUGACUCCCUCCCAGAGCCACAGACAGGGAGGCUGGAGUCUGGGUCAUCACAAUGGCUGUCCUGGACUCUGGGAUGGGAAGAAGAAAGGAGAAAAAGCAGAUUCAGGACAGUGCCUCCUGGCUGCUUUAAUACAGCAGAGGACUUUGGUUCCACUGCAGGGGACCCAAAGGCCAUGGAAAGGUGCAAGAUCAUGAAUGGAAGAGGAUGCACAUGUACCAGCAAUGACUUGUUGCUUAGCGAUUUCUCAUUACACAAUUAAAUUCAUGUCUCACUCAUCAGAAUUAAAGGCUGUCUGAGCAGGUGGCAGGAAUGACAGCCCUUGACAGAAUCAGGAACACAAUUCAUAGCCUCAAAAUACUUAGAGAAUUGGAGGAAGGUCCCCAGUGUGUCCAAUUGUUCUUCUGAAUGAGCUUUGUGUAAGGUCAUGCAUGUGAACUACACAGGACAGAAGUCUUGGAGGAUUUUUAUUCCUCAUAGGGACUGAUGAGAUUACCAUUCUCUCAGUUUCUAAAAAUCUAUUCCUGGAAGUUUCCUAAGAAUCUCCCCUAUCUACUUCCCUGGUUCCUCUUCCAUUCUACCAAUAUUGGGUGAGAAAAGACCCUUCCUCCUGGGCAAAACUAAUCUUUUUGCUGAUAGUUACAUUCCUAAAGCCCCUGGUCACCAUUUUAAUCUGAUGAAUUUUCUCAAAGUUUUCCUCAAUUAACAUUCCUCAAAAAAUCUGGAUCAGAAAUGUAUUUGGGGGGAAUAGACAUAGCACAUGACAUUUCACUUUGGGUCAUUCCCUGAUUCAGGCGACUCCUUCCUGGUCUACAUGAACCAUCAUGGAAUGCUUUAAAAUGAAGGUAAAGUGGAAUAAAUAGGUCCAGGUGUAAUAACA
This 957-nucleotide long non-coding RNA is filed under the name Monodelphis domestica (gray short-tailed opossum). RNAcentral's name for it is "lncRNA (ENSMODG00000045183.1)". The record is from RNAcentral. Lineage: Eukaryota; Metazoa; Chordata; Mammalia; Didelphimorphia; Didelphidae.